Molecule: long non-coding RNA, 2217 nt
Organism: Nilaparvata lugens (brown planthopper)
Lineage: Eukaryota; Metazoa; Arthropoda; Insecta; Hemiptera; Delphacidae
Exons: 2
Source: RefSeq, a predicted model, not a curated record
UAUUCAACGAUAGAUUGCUAUCUAGUCUAGGGACUAAUGAGCAACCUUUUUUCUGUACCAUAAUACUAAUAAAUAUUUCAUACAAGAGAAUCCUCCUUAGGGUCUCCUAUUCAAAUUCUAAUAUUAUUAGUACACUGCUUAUGACUGUACUACACAGGCGGGUUUCACUCAUUUCCUGCUUGCUUUGCUUUUCACUGGACACAAGACACUUGAAUCAGCACUAGACCAGUUCAAAUGGCUUCUUCCUUUUCAUCCUCCUCACCAAUCCUCAAUUUUCCAGUAGCUGGAUUGCUUCGAUGUUGUCGUAUUGGUGGAGUCGGGCCGCUUGUUUCUCUGCAUGCCUCUGGAUUUCGCUGCAUACCAGGUCGACUUGCAGGUCUCUGUGUAGGUCGCUGUUUCUGACGUACCAAGGAGCAUCAGCAAUGUUUCUCAGCACCUUGUUUUGAAAGCGUUGUAUGACUUUGAUGUUACUGUCUUUGGUACACCCCCAAAGUUGUAUGCCAUACCUACAUACUGGCUUUAGAAUCUGUUUAUACAGGAGUACUUUGUUUGGAAUUGACAAGAUGGAGUUCCUUCCAAUCAGCCACCAGAGUCUCUUGUAUUUUAUUCCCAGCUCUUCUCUCUUCUUCUUAACAUGGACCUUCCAGCGAAGCUUUGCAUCCAAGGUCAUACCUAGGUACCUGGCAUCAUUGGCAAAUGGUACUAUUUGAUUGUUAAUGGUUAUUGGUAUGGGUUGAGCCCUCUUGUUGGUGAAAUCGAUAUGAACUGAUUUUGCUUCAUUGAGUUUAAUCUUCCAUUUUGUUGUCCAGUCUUCAAUUUUUCUGAGAUAUCUUUGAAGUUUUGCUGUAGCACUUUCAAUCUUGUCAUCUAUAUCUAAUAUUGCUGUGUCGUCGGCAAAUGUUGCUAUUGUAUUAUUCUCGAGACAUGGUAGAUCACUUGUAAACAGAAGAUAGAGAAUCGGCUCUAAAACACUCCCUUGUGGUACUCCUGCUUUUAUUUCUCCUAGGCCAGAAUAAGCAUCUUCAAGUUUCACUCUGAAGUAUCGUCCAGUUAAAUAUGACUGUAAGAUGUCUGUGAAUUGCUUUGGAAGUGACUUUUUCAACUUAUUAAUUAGUCCUCCAUGCCAGACUCUAUCAAAAGCUUGACUCACAUCCAGAAAUGCUGCAGAACAAACUUUUUUCUCUUCCAACGACCUUUCUAUUUUAUUUACAAUCCUGUGUACCUGAUCAAUAAUUGUUGAAUGUUUUUUCCUGAAGCCAAUUGAUGAUCUGGUAUCAAUUUUUUCAUUCCAAUAAUCGGAGUCAGCCUUUUCAACAAUAUUCUUUCAAAAAGUUUUGACAUUACUGGAAGCAGAGAUAUUGGCCGGUAUGAUGAGAUGUUGUGGGGCUCUUUUCCAGCAUCAACUAUUGCUGUUGAAUUUUCCACAAUAUUAUAAAAUGGUUGAGGUAACCUUUGCUCACUCAGUCUGAAAUUAUUUCUUCUAGUUUUAUUCAGGCACAUUUUGCUAAAAUGAUUCACCACUCAGUCUGAAAUUAUUUCUUCUAGCUUUAUUCAGGCACAUUUUGCUAAAAUGAUUCAUCUUACCCAAUUAUUACACCUUUUACCAGACACUGGGCAGCUCCUACCUUCCACAUGCUGCAUUCCGCAAUAGCCGCAUACAAUCUUCUGAUAUGAGUUUGUUUUCCUUUUAUCGUACUUGGAAACUGGGUAAAGUGAAGAAAGUCACUAGCCCCUUCAAAGUUGCAUAAAAUGAAUUGAAUGAUUGACCUUUCUCUUGUUUGCAAGUUAUAAAAUUGUAUACAUUCAUGAUUUCAUUCUUCUUUGGUAAACAAUAGCUCUCUAAUGUUCUUAAUAUUGAUUCUACCGUUUCUGGCUCAUUCACAUCUUGUAACGAUUCAUACAAAAUCAAAGCUUCAUUGCCUAACAAGUUGUUCAAUCUUGCAACUUGAAUUUGGUUGGACUUUUUAUUUGUCUCAGUCGCUAUAAAAUAAUUUACGAUAUUUUUCCUGAAUAGUUCGAAAUUCUCUGAGACAUUUUCCCCGUUGCAUAGUAACGGUUCUGGCUUGUUGAAAUCCAUGUUUGUCUUUUAAGAAAAAAAUACGUUAAUUACCCAAUUUUAUUACUCACUAAAUCCUGUCGUUAUCAUUCUCCUUUUCUGUUCAAUUCCUUGACUGCGCCAUGUGUAAAUAUCUUUAUAAAUUUGAAGCAACCAUCUUU